AGAAGAAGGACCGGCCAACUACGUGCCAGCAGCCGCGGUAAUACGUAGGGUCCGAGCGUUGUCCGGAAUUACUGGGCGUAAAGAGCUCGUAGGUGGUUUGUCGCGUUGUUCGUGAAAACCGGGGGCUUAACCCUCGGCGUGCGGGCGAUACGGGCAGACUUGAGUACUGCAGGGGAGACUGGAAUUCCUGGUGUAGCGGUGGAAUGCGCAGAUAUCAGGAGGAACACCGGUGGCGAAGGCGGGUCUCUGGGCAGUAACUGACGCUGAGGAGCGAAAGCGUGGGGAGCGAACAGGAUUAGAUACCCUGGUAGUCCACGCCGUAAACGGUGGGUACUAGGUGUGGGUUUCCUUCCUUGGGAUCCGUGCCGUAGCUAACGCAUUAAGUACCCCGCCUGGGGAGUACGGCCGCAAGGCUAAAACUCAAAGAAAUUGACGGGGGCCCGCACAAGCGGCGGAGCAUGUGGAUUAAUUCGAUGCAACGCGAAGAACCUUACCUGGGUUUGACAUGCGCAGGACGCCGGUAGAGAUAUCGGUUCCCUUGUGGCCUGUGUGCAGGUGGUGCAUGGCUGUCGUCAGCUCGUGUCGUGAGAUGUUGGGUUAAGUCCCGCAACGAGCGCAACCCUUGUCUCAUGUUGCCAGCACGUGAUGGUGGGGACUCGUGAGAGACUGCCGGGGUCAACUCGGAGGAAGGUGGGGAUGACGUCAAGUCAUCAUGCCCCUUAUGUCCAGGGCUUCACACAUGCUACAAUGGCCGGUACAAAGGGCUGCGAUGCCGUGAGGUGGAGCGAAUCCUUUCAAAGCCGGUCUCAGUUCGGAUCGGGGUCUGCAACUCGACCCCGGAAGUCGGAGUCG
RNAcentral lists this ribosomal RNA (852 nucleotides) under uncultured bacterium. Its description in RNAcentral is "bacterial SSU rRNA". It matches the Rfam family "Bacterial small subunit ribosomal RNA", at positions 483 to 1334 of the family's 1533-position model. The record is from RNAcentral.